RNAcentral lists this ribosomal RNA (429 nucleotides) under bacterium. RNAcentral's name for it is "partial 16S ribosomal RNA". It matches the Rfam family "Bacterial small subunit ribosomal RNA", at positions 355 to 776 of the family's 1533-position model. The record is from RNAcentral.
UAGGGAAUCUUCGGCAAUGGGGGCAACCCUGACCGAGCAACGCCGCGUGAGUGAAGAAGGUUUUCGGAUCGUAAAGCUCUGUUGUAAGAGAAGAACGUGUGUGAGAGUGGAAAGUUCACACAGUGACGGUAACUUACCAGAAAGGGACGGCUAACUACGUGCCAGCAGCCGCGAUAAUACGUAGGUCCCGAGCGUUGUCCGGAUUUAUUAGGCGUAAAGCGAGCUCAGCCGGUUUAAUAAGUCUGAAGUUAAAGGCAGUGGCUUAACCAUUGUUCGCUUUGGAAACUGUUAAACUUGAGUGCAGAAGGGGAGAGUGGAAUUCCAUGUGUAGCGGUGAAAUGCGUAGAUAUAUGGAGGAACACCGGUGGCGAAAGCGGCUCUCUGGUCUGUAACUGACGCUGAGGCUCGAAAGCGUGGGGAGCAAACAGG